UACAGAGGGUGCAAGCGUUAAUCGGAAUUACUGGGCGUAAAGCGUGCGUAGACGGUUAUGUAAGUCAGGUGUGAAAGCCCCGGGCUCAACCUGGGAAUUGCAUUUGAGACUGCAUAGCUAGGGUGCGGAAGGGGGAAGCGGAAUUUCCGGUGUAGCGGUGAAAUGCGUAGAUAUCAGGAGGAACACCGGUGGCGAAGGCGGAUCUCUGGGCCGUAACUGACGCUGAGGAGCGAAAGCAUGGGGAGCGAACAGG
This 253-nucleotide ribosomal RNA is filed under the name uncultured bacterium. Its description in RNAcentral is "partial 16S ribosomal RNA". It matches the Rfam family "Bacterial small subunit ribosomal RNA", at positions 524 to 776 of the family's 1533-position model. The record is from RNAcentral.